RNAcentral lists this ribosomal RNA (524 nucleotides) under uncultured bacterium. RNAcentral describes it as "bacterial SSU rRNA". It matches the Rfam family "Bacterial small subunit ribosomal RNA", at positions 369 to 886 of the family's 1533-position model. The record is from RNAcentral.
CAAUGGGCGCAAGCCUGAUGACGCACGCCGCGUGGAGGAUGAAGGUCUUCGGAUUGUAAACUCCUGUUGCCCGGGACGAAAAGCUCUGACCUAACACGUCAGAGUCUGACGGUACCGGGUGAGGAAGCCCCGGCUAACUCUGUGCCAGCAGCCGCGGUAAUACAGAGGGGGCAAGCGUUGUUCGGAAUUACUGGGCGUAAAGGGCGCGUAGGCGGCGUGCUAAGUCGAACGUGAAAUCCCCGGGCUCAACCCGGGAACUGCGUCCGAGACUGGCAUGCUUGAAUCCGGGAGAGGGAUGUGGAAUUCCAGGUGUAGCGGUGAAAUGCGUAGAUAUCUGGAGGAACAUCGGUGGCGAAGGCGGCAUCCUGGACCGGUAUUGACGCUGAGGCGCGAAAGCCAGGGGAGCAAACGGGAUUAGAUACCCCGGUAGUCCUGGCCCUAAACGAUGAAUGCUUGGUGUGGCGGGUAUCGAUCCCUGCCGUGCCGAAGCUAACGCAUUAAGCAUUCCGCCUGGGGAGUACGGU